Molecule: ribosomal RNA, 646 nt
Filed under: Vibrio harveyi
Lineage: Bacteria; Pseudomonadati; Pseudomonadota; Gammaproteobacteria; Vibrionales; Vibrionaceae
Description: bacterial SSU rRNA
Rfam family: Bacterial small subunit ribosomal RNA
Source: RNAcentral
CAUGCAAGUCGAGCGGAACAACCCAUCUGAACCUUCGGGGAACGACACCGACGUCGACCCCCGGACGGGUGAGUAAUGCCUAGGAAAUCGAACUGGCGCAGGGGAUAACCAUUGGAAACGAUGGCUAAUACCGCAUAAUACCUACGGGUCAAAGAGGGGGACCUUCGGGCCUCUCGCGUCAGGAUAUGCCUAGGUGGGAUUAGCUAGUUGGUGAGGUAAUGGCUCACCAAGGCGACGAUCCCUAGCUGGUCUGAGAGGAUGAUCAGCCACACUGGAACUGAGACACGGUCCAGACUCCUACGGGAGGCAGCAGUGGGGAAUAUUGCACAAUGGGCGCAAGCCUGAUGCAGCCAUGCCGCGUGUGUGAAGAAGGCCUUCGGGUUCGUAAAGCACUUUCAGUCGUGAGGAAGGUAGUGUAGUUAAUAGCUGCAUUAUUUGACGUUAGCGACAGAAGAAGCACCGGCUAACUCCGUGCCAGCAGCCGCGGUAAUACGGAGGGUGCGAGCGUUAAUCGGAAUUACUGGGCGUAAAGCGCAUGCAGGUGGUUUGUUAAGUCAGAUGUGAAAGCCCGGGGCUCAACCUCGGAAUAGCAUUUGAAACUGGCAGACUAGAGUACUGUAGAGGGGGGUAGAAUUUCAGGUGUAGC